Molecule: ribosomal RNA, 543 nt
Filed under: Anterastes antitauricus
Lineage: Eukaryota; Metazoa; Arthropoda; Insecta; Orthoptera; Tettigoniidae
Description: partial 16S ribosomal RNA
Rfam family: Bacterial large subunit ribosomal RNA
Source: RNAcentral
AACAAAAACAUGGCCUUUAGAGAGGAAAUUUAAGGUCGGGCCUGCCCACUGAAGUAGUUGAAGGGCCGCGGUAUUUUGACCGUGCAAAGGUAGCAUAAUCAUUAGUCUUUUAAUUGAGGGCUGGAAUGAAUGGUUUGACGAAAUAUUGACUGUCUCUUUAUAAUAAAUAGAAUUUAACUUUUGAGUCAAAAGGCUUAAAUGAAUAUAAAAGACGAGAAGACCCUAUAGAUCUUUAUAUAGUUCUAUAAUUGCUUUAUUUGGUUGUUUUAUUUACGAUUAUUUAACUAUAUUUUGUUGGGGUGACAUGAAGAUAAAAAUAACUCUUUAUAAUAAGAACAUUGAUUUAUGGAUGAUUGAUCCGUUAUUAACGAUUAUAAGAUAAAGUUACCUUAGGGAUAACAGCGUAAUUUUUUUUGAGAGUUCUUAUCGACAAAAAAGAUUGCGACCUCGAUGUUGGAUUAAGGAAUAUGAUUAGGUGUAGCAGUUUAAUUAAUAAGUCUGUUCGACUUUUAAAUCCUUACGUCAUCUGAGUUCAGACCCGGA